RNAcentral lists this ribosomal RNA (516 nucleotides) under uncultured bacterium. RNAcentral describes it as "bacterial SSU rRNA". It matches the Rfam family "Bacterial small subunit ribosomal RNA", at positions 8 to 518 of the family's 1533-position model. The record is from RNAcentral.
AGAGUUUGAUCCUGGCUCAGGAUGAACGCUAGCUACAGGCUAACACAUGCAAGUCGAGGGGCAGCAUUGGAGUAGCAAUACUCAGAUGGCGACCGGCGCACGGGUGAGUAACACGUAUCCAACCUGCCGCUUACUCGGGGAUAGCCUUUCGAAAGAAAGAUUAAUACCCGAUGGUAUAAAGAGUUCGCAUGUUCUCUUUAUUAAAGAAUUUCGGUAAGCGAUGGGGAUGCGUUCCAUUAGAUAGUUGGCGGGGUAACGGCCCACCGAGUCUACGAUGGAUAGGGGUUCUGAGAGGAAGGUCCCCACAUUGGAACUGAGACACGGACCAGACUCCUACGGGAGGCAGCAGUGAGGAAUAUUGGUCAAUGGGCGAGAGCCUGAACCAGCCAAGUCGCGUGAAGGAAAGAAGGAUCUAUGGUUCGUAAACUUCUUUUGCAGGGGAAUAAAGUGCAGGACGUGUCCUGUUUUGUAUGUACCCUGAGAAUAAGGAUCGGCUAACUCCGUGCCAGCAGCAGC